Podarcis lilfordi (Lilford's wall lizard) is the source of this 74-nucleotide non-coding RNA. The record is from the annotation of a GenBank genome assembly. Lineage: Eukaryota; Metazoa; Chordata; Lepidosauria; Squamata; Lacertidae.
AUCUUCUUAGCUCAGUUGGCUAGAGCGUGGUGCUGAUAACGCCAAGGUUGCAGGCUUGAUCCCCGUAUGGGACG